RNAcentral lists this transfer RNA (70 nucleotides) under Dielis tejensis. Its description in RNAcentral is "tRNA-Leu". Lineage: Eukaryota; Metazoa; Arthropoda; Insecta; Hymenoptera; Scoliidae. The record is from RNAcentral.
AUUACUUUGGCAGAGUAGUGCGAUAAAUUUAGGGUUUAUAUACAUUAUUGAUUUUAAAUAAUAAGUAAUA